RNAcentral lists this unclassified non-coding RNA (458 nucleotides) under Hevea brasiliensis (rubber tree). Lineage: Eukaryota; Viridiplantae; Streptophyta; Magnoliopsida; Malpighiales; Euphorbiaceae. The record is from RNAcentral.
GAAAUUAUUUCCCUUUUCUUUUGCGGACUCACUUGCUGUAUAUUUUGUAAUAAUUAGGGACAAAUAUGUCAAUUCCAUGUCCUUUCUGUGCCAUCUUCAACAACUAAGCCCCAAGCGUCAUAGUGUGUAUUGCAAAAAGUUCAGAUUAAUGCUAAUGCAUGUGAGAUAAUGCCUACUGUUUUUGACUGAUUCUAUAGAAUAUAGACUGAAUGGUAACUUGUUUUAUGUUUUCUACUUCAGUAACUACUUUGUCAGUAUUUAUACUCAGCAACCAAAUUGCUCUGAAGAUGAGGUUUUCUAUUGUCAGCAGAUAUUUAUUUCUGUGUCAAUAUUUUAUUGCUUGUGCCAUUCCAUGGAUCACCUAUCAGUUUUAUCAGAAUACAUGAACUGUAAUUCAAUUUCAUAUUUUAUUCAGCAUUUGUUUGCCUGCAUUUCUUACAUUUUGAGCUUCAUUUUUA